Molecule: long non-coding RNA, 497 nt
Organism: Canis lupus familiaris (dog)
Lineage: Eukaryota; Metazoa; Chordata; Mammalia; Carnivora; Canidae
Exons: 3
Source: RefSeq, a predicted model, not a curated record
ACAUAGAAAGUAGAGGGUUACCAAGGUCUAUAUCACAUUCUUCCAUCUUAGAGAAGCCAAAUAGUAAAGAUUAACUGAGCCUCCUAAAAAGACUCAAUGUCCAAACGUUCUGUUGUAUAUGCCAAAGACAUGAAAAACUGAAAAGAUGAGAGUCCCAUUGAGAAAUUUUUUUUGUCGGGAUAUACAAGGUAUCAUGAGAGCAAAUAUUCACUGCUGUAAGAUCAGCUUCUAGGACAUAAUGGGGCAAGACACAUGGUUAGUCAUCUGACAUGGAACAGACAAGGGGGAAGAGAAGCAGCAGCCAAGUGAGAUGGGAGGAUGGAGAGUUAGAAAACACAUGAAGAAAAUGAUCGAUAUUGUCAAAUGCUUCCAACAGGAAAGGGAGAUAAGCAAGUAAGAAUCACUAUUGGAUUAGGUGGUGUCAAGGCCUAUGCUGACCUUGAGAACUGCAAUUUUGGGGGAAUUAUGGGGAUUUAAGCCUGACUAAAGUGUGUUUG